AAGGAAUAUUGGUCAAUGGACGAAAGUCUGAACCAGCCAUGCCGCGUGAAGGAUUAAGGCCCUCUGGGUUGUAAACUUCUUUUAUCUGGGACGAAAAAAGGGUAUUCUUACUCACUUGACGGUACCAGAGGAAUAAGCACCGGCUAACUCCGUGCCAGCAGCCGCGGUAAUACGGAGGGUGCAAGCGUUAUCCGGAUUUACUGGGUUUAAAGGGUGCGUAGGUGGGUUUGUAAGUCAGUGGUGAAAUCUCCGAGCUUAACUCGGAAACUGCCAUUGAUACUAUAGAUCUUGAAUUAUCUGGAGGUAAGCGGAAUAUGUCAUGUAGCGGUGAAAUGCUUAGAUAUGACAUAGAACACCAAUUGCGAAGGCAGCUUACUACGGAUAUAUUGACACUGAGGCACGAAAGCGUGGGGAUCAAAC
RNAcentral lists this ribosomal RNA (420 nucleotides) under uncultured bacterium. RNAcentral describes it as "bacterial SSU rRNA". It matches the Rfam family "Bacterial small subunit ribosomal RNA", at positions 356 to 773 of the family's 1533-position model. The record is from RNAcentral.